This is a long non-coding RNA of Solanum stenotomum, 642 nucleotides long. RefSeq lists it as uncharacterized. The transcript has 5 exons. The record is from RefSeq and is a predicted model, not a curated record. Lineage: Eukaryota; Viridiplantae; Streptophyta; Magnoliopsida; Solanales; Solanaceae.
UAGACCAACAAAAAAGGAAACAAACUACAACAACAAAAAGUAAAAAUAUCUGGAAAGUAGCUCAAGUGUUCUUGCUUCUUCUCAGAUUCUUGGUGUGAAAAUUCAUGGAACACAGUUGCUUCCAACUAUAGAGCUUAAAGUGAAUUGAAGAUAAAACCAACUUUAAGCUUUUUAUAGCUUUUGCAGCAUCAUGACUUCAAUAAUCUAGGUGAUAAAUCUCCUUCUAAUGCAAUGUUGUCAAGGACAUCUUCAGAACCUUGUUGGGAGAUUCCACUUUGAAUACUUGAAUUGCAUCAACUUGUAUCACCACAGGAACCUCCACUAUUGCCAGAUGAUUAUAUUCUUGGGAUUGUUACAUAUGAGGGCUAUUAUCUUCUAUCUCCAGGGAUAGAAUCCUUUCUUUCAUAAUGAUGGACUACUACUUAUUGCUGCUUUUGGGGAUUACGACAGAAAGAUUUAGACACAUAGUCAUAUCUAAUAUCCACUACGGUAGACCUUACUUCCCCAGUGACUUCAUCUUCAAUGUUCAUGAUAACAUAUUUAGGAAAACUUUUUUUUAAAUCCACCAACACCUUCACUUGAGCACAACUAGGUCUAGUCCUUUUGAUCGUAGAUUGAUCAAGAUGGAUAGGUGUACCUACU